This 486-nucleotide ribosomal RNA is filed under the name uncultured bacterium. Its description in RNAcentral is "partial 16S ribosomal RNA". It matches the Rfam family "Bacterial small subunit ribosomal RNA", at positions 30 to 507 of the family's 1533-position model. The record is from RNAcentral.
AUUGAACGCUGGCGGCAUGCCUUACACAUGCAAGUCGAACGGCAGCACGGGUGCUUGCACCUGGUGGCGAGUGGCGGACGGGUGCGUAAUACAUCGGCACAUGUCCUGUAGUGGGGGAUAGCCCGGCGAAAGCCGGAUUAAUACCGCAUACGAUCUACGGAUGAAAGCGGGGGCCCUUCGGGCCUCGCGCUAUAGGGUUGGCCGAUGGCUGAUUAGCUUGUUGGUGGGGUAAAGGCCUACCAAGGCGACGAUCAGUAGCUGGUCUGAGAGGACGACCAGCCACACUGGGACUGAGACACGGCCCAGACUCCUACGGGAGGCAGCAGUGGGGAAUUUUGGACAAUGGGCGAAAGCCUGAUCCAGCAAUGCCGCGUGUGUGAAGAAGGCCUUCGGGUUGUAAAGCACUUUUGUCCGGAAAGAAAUCCUUGGCCCUAAUACGGUCGGGGGAUGACGGUACCGGAAGAAUAAGCACCGGCUAACUACGUG